GCCGUAAGUGAACCUGCGGCUGGAUCAUUA
This 30-nucleotide ribosomal RNA is filed under the name Alternaria alternata. RNAcentral describes it as "partial 18S ribosomal RNA". Lineage: Eukaryota; Fungi; Ascomycota; Dothideomycetes; Pleosporales; Pleosporaceae. The record is from RNAcentral.